CUCCGCUGCUGUUAGCUGUCACCACGUCCAGCGAGAGUGCCAUGAUCCUCUCCUCCUCUGACUGCACGGUUUCAGCCUCAUCUACCGCCUCAAGAUCCCGACCGCGCCGUUCGUGGGAAUGGGUAUUCGGGGUUGCGGUUGACCUACAGGUUAGUCGAAUUGUCUAUUUGUUUGCAUGUGGGUGUGUGUUCACUGGUGCUCUCCUUCUUUUAUCAUUAGAUGAAAUAACUUUAUGUUAUAUGGAUUUUUCCUGUAACGAUGAUCGAUUCCAGGAUAUGUAAUGGGCUUGACGGUAGUACAGUGUUCAUGUUUGCAUUCGUUGGUAGUUAAAUUUAUUUUUGUUGGUUGGGAACUAUCAUUUGAUGUUGUAAGCACAAUUUUUUACAAGGUAAACAGGACUACUGCAUCCUCUCCCCAAAUCGUUUUUUCUUGUGGAAUACAAGGUAACCAGACUAGCUUCGCGUAUAAGUUUUGUUGAAAUAAAAGUUUUACCUCAAUGGAUAUGUAAUACUGGCAGAAGUAUGAACUAUUCUGGUAAAAAAAAAGUACCUCGGGCUGUGUUUGCAGUGUACGUAUUGAGGUUUUGAUACAUGUGCCAAUAGCUAUUUAAGCGUAGCAUUAUUUUUUCGAGAUACCUCUUGUAGUUUCUAUGUUUUAUAAAUUUGUUUGAUUGGGUGUGAGUUAUUUUAUUUAAGUGAAGAUAUAUGGAUAUAUAUAUAUCUUUAUUAUAGCUAAAUAUGCUCUUAGUUGUGGAGAUUCGGCUAUUACUUUAUUCAGCUUAAAUUACUCGUGUUUCUCAUGGAAAUCUUAUGUUUCUUCUCUUUGUAGGAUAAAUUAAGCAACGCAUCAGAUUAGUAUUUUUUUUUCAAAGGUUUAUCGUGUAUGAUCUCGCAUGAUUUUAUUGUAUGCUUAUGCUGUGUACCAACACCAAUUCAAAGGUUGCGUCUUAAUGGGGAACGAGUUCAAAGUAAAAUUCAGAGAGGAAGGGGUCAAUUUGUUCAACUUCACAAACUCACCACCUGCUACAUCCAUUUAUCUUCAUUUAUGUAGCUAAGUGGAAAUUCUCAGUCUCAACAGCCAUUCUCAUGGAUUGUGUGAAGCAAAAUAAAGCAAGUAAGAAUUUCAGAACAAUAGGCAGAACGACGAAAACGAUCGGGAAGUAGCCUAAACACCUUUUAACAAGAUUCAGCAAGCAUGUCCAUAUUAAACUGGAAGGCAAGAGUACUAUCUCACCAGGCUCCUCGGAUCCUCCCAAUAAUAUAGAGUACACACACCCAAUCUUAGGACAAGGCAGCUUUGGCAUGACAACAAUUGGGUUGCUGUUCCAAAGGUUGGUUCACUUAGAGUUGGAUAAAAGGUGCAAACUCAGGGGGGCAGUCAUCUUGUACUGAAGGACGAGGCUGUGUUGGAGGUCAAUUUGUCUCAAGGCAUGAAGAGGAACUCAUUUGUUGCAUCAGCUUUUCUUAUGCAGCGCAGUGAACUUACUAAGAAAUUUCAGACUUCUAACAGUGAUGGAAGACACCAAUAUCUUGGUCCUGAAGAUUCUCUUCAUUUGAUGGAUAAGUGGCUAAUAAUAAUGUUGAUUAUCGGAUCCUGUUGUGACAACUCAAGAUCGCGAUAUUGGUAGUCACAGCCUAUGUUGGUAGUCGCAGUCCUAACGGUAGCCCCUAUAGGCCAGCACAUCCUCAAGAUUAUGCCAGUGAAGAUAUAUGUAGUAGGAAUGAUGAUGAUGAAAUUUCUAUAUGUGUAAGAGAAUC
Non-coding RNA from Lolium perenne, 1757 nucleotides. NCBI's taxonomy places the organism in Eukaryota, Viridiplantae, Streptophyta, Magnoliopsida, Poales, Poaceae. The record is from RefSeq and is a predicted model, not a curated record.